GAGAGAUUCGCUCAAUGGUAGAGCCCGUUUUACACACGGAAGGUUAGGUGUUCAAGUCACCUAUCUCUUA
RNAcentral lists this transfer RNA (70 nucleotides) under Nemania diffusa. RNAcentral describes it as "tRNA-Val". It matches the Rfam family "tRNA". From Rfam's summary of the family: Transfer RNA (tRNA) molecules are approximately 80 nucleotides in length. Lineage: Eukaryota; Fungi; Ascomycota; Sordariomycetes; Xylariales; Xylariaceae. The record is from RNAcentral.